GCCAGGUCCAGCAGGAGCACGGGGAGACUGACUCGUGCUGCGAGGCAGCGCCUGGCGCGAAGGACGCACGUGGACGGCAGCGGCAGAACGGAGGCCGAAGCUGCGCAUCGUGGCGCCGGCAGCCCCGCCAAGCAUGCGGACGGGAGAGGGGCCGCGAGUGGGAACACGUCACGUUCUGCCGGGACGUGGAAUCCAACGGGCGACCCUCAGGAUCGCGUCAAUCCUUGACUCGAGUCACCACGUCGCAAGAGUGUGAAUCAGGCUCGCUCCAAUCGGUGCCACCUCCAGUCCCAAUGGUCAUCAGCAGCAGGAAAGCGCCAUCCUGUCGGAGACAACCCAGGGAAAAUCGGCGGAGUCCCACGCGCCGGUGUGCAACGACGGCCAAAAUCCAUCCACCUGGUAUCAGAUUACGAUUCCUUUUGGAAGGAAGUAUGGGAAGAAUGGGCUCAUGCAGUCCCUGCAGCAGGGCUGCUACACGCCCUUUACUCCGUUGCAGGGAUGAAUUUCCACUUUGAGGGAGUUAUGGCAACAUUCUCAGUGGUGGACUACAUGGCGGCCGUGAAGCUCAAGGCGCGGUCGCGUAAAAUUGUCUAUCCCGACAACUAUAGGGCCAUCGUCUUGAUGCGCCCACUCGUGGGCCCACCGUCUCCGCUCGCUGCGGAACUGACGGAGGACGACCGGCGGCUGAUCGAGGAAGAAGCAAAGCUACCGCAGCCACCAGCGUCCACACCUCUGCCACCCACACCUCUGCCGCCCACCUCAGCCGACAUUCAAGGCCUCAUCGCGAGCUUCUUCAAGGAGUAAUACAAUCUGUAUGAUACUGCAGACCGUCAGGGUCUGCUCAAGAAGUAUCAUAAGGAUGUCCUCAUCACCAUCUACACCCCCUCAGAAAGCAGCCUGGGAGAGGAUGGUGCAGAUAAGGAGAGCCCGGAAGAUUCACUUGAGUGUUGCCCGAGUCAAGCGGCUGACGGUGGAGGUCUUCCUCACACGCAUCACGAUGCGUCUUCCUUCACCACCACCAUCAGCCGUGGCACGUCAAGAAUUGCCGGGAGUCAGUGAAGGUGUUUUGGUGAGUGGUGCAAUUGGUGCCAACCAUGGACGGCAGGCCAUCUGUCGUGAGCAAGCGGCUGUUCAUCCGCCAAGCUUAUUCAAAUGCCUGGAGCAGAACAAUUGGGAUUUCUCCAAGGCGGCCGAUGACUUCAUCCACCUCAAUGCGAGUACCGUGCCGCCCACACUGCUGACCGACACGCGGCGUCACAACUGGACGGGUGUGUUCAGAUUUGGCGAGCGUCGCUCAUGACGCCGCUUGCCUCUCCUUCUACUCUGCCCCUCCUCCUUCCCGCAUCAGCAUCGCUGCUCCGGGUUUGGUUGUGGCUCCUGCUCCGGUGCGGAUCUACCAAAACCACGGUCGGCAAUCGUCAUUCCCAUCGUCAGAAUGGAGGGAAGAUUCCGGAGGAGGAAUUUAUAUAAUCAGCGCUCACCCCACCGAAUGGAUCCUUCCACAUGUUUCUGUUUUGUGUCAAACUUUGAUUGUUUUUUGUAUUAUAAAAUGUAAUAAUUAUUAUGCUAUUAGUUUUGGCUGUCGUUGUGACAUCUGUUAAAAGCAUCGCUACGGAUUGCAGUGCACGCAGUACAAACCAUCCUUGCUUAGCGCUCACGAUGCAUUUUACCAUUGUAGAAAUGGGGAUGUGUUCCCGACAAUGUUAUUUCUCAUGUAUGAGCAAUAUAUGAUUGGCUUCAUUGGGUUAUUUGUAAAAUCGCUAAUAAAAAUGCAGAUUGUAAACAGAACUUUAUAAUCUAUAUAACACGUGACUGUACUCACCAGUGCAUUCUGCUGUACUCUUGGUGAGGUUCAUUUUAUAUGGAGCCUGAGACUCUCAUCUGGCUAACUGUAGUGUAAUCACAUUGAAAUUCCGUUUCCUUGUAUAUAGAUCACUGUCCACAGAAGAAAUUUGUUUUGUGGGCCAAAGCAUUAGUUGCUGCAUAUCCAGUAGAUCUCGAACAUCAUUCACUGAUUAAUUCCUGUUUUUCCUGCAUUGGUAUGCAGGAGGAAAAAAACAUUGGCAGAUAUGCUCAAAUCCCACAUAUCUAACAAGCUGAUCAGCAGCUUUCAGAAUGUUACAUUGCUCUGUAUCUUGCCAUCUUGGGAAUCAAUUGUGAAAGGGAGGGUUAUUUUUCCAAGCUAAAGCUGAUAAAAAAAAAUAUGUCUCCCAUCAACCAGAGAAAAACAACGUUGCCUUGUUUUUCCUUGCACUGCUACUUUCUAUCUAUUGAG
Molecule: long non-coding RNA, 2275 nt
Organism: Lethenteron reissneri (Far Eastern brook lamprey)
Lineage: Eukaryota; Metazoa; Chordata; Hyperoartia; Petromyzontiformes; Petromyzontidae
Source: RefSeq, a predicted model, not a curated record